This 873-nucleotide long non-coding RNA is filed under the name Chrysemys picta bellii (western painted turtle). RNAcentral describes it as "lncRNA (ENSCPBG00000002428.1)". The record is from RNAcentral. Lineage: Eukaryota; Metazoa; Chordata; Testudines; Emydidae.
GCAGCAGGCGCUGUCCAGCGUCGCAGCCCCGAUACCAGGCUAGAUGGGCCCCUGCUCUCACUGGGCCUGGCAGGUUCCGAGCAGCAGCUUGUGCAUCCCCCAGAGCCUGGACACGCAGGGAGGUGGCCAGGGGCAUCUGCCAAGCAGAGUGGACCCUGUACGGAGACCCAGUGUGGGAAGACAUGCAGGAGCCCAAGUUCACAGCUGCUGUGGCCUUGGCACCUCUUUCAGCCCUUUCCUAGAGCAAAGAGCUGCCAGAAAUCUCCUCCCCGUGGCUGUGCUCGGCUACCCAGCUCAGUGCUCUGUAGCCCCAGGGAACCGUCCUGGUCAGACAGUUCUCAAGCUGCAUUGGGAAACUAGGUAAGAUGUUUGUCCUGCUGCUCCAGCCCCCCCUUCCCCUCCUCUGGUGGUUAGAAACCUUCUUCUCCUUCCAGCCUGCAUUUACUCCUGGCCAUUUAUCCCCAUUUGUUUUUGUGCCAAUGCUGUCCCUUAGCAUCAGGAGCCCUUCUUCCUCCCUGGUGGUUUGGAUGCCAGCUGCUUGCUUUACCAGCUGGGAGUUGAGAUUUCCUCCAGAAUCCCUGGUAAAGGUCCUGAGCAGCAUUGUGCCAGGCACAGAUCCCCACAGGCCCCCACUGGAAGCAUCCCUCCUUGUAUGAGGGUUUCCCCAUUGGCUGCUGUUCUCUGAGAUCUGCUCGGCUGCGUCCAAGGUGUUGGUAUUGCCGACGUGAGGAGGAUUCGCAGAGCUGCCGAAGGGGCUGGGAUGUGCCCGUCUCCUGGUUGGUAUAAUAACAAGAACUGAGGGCCAGAGUCUAAAGAGAUCUGGGCACCUGAGAAGCAGAUAAAAGCACCCACUAGGUCCCUGUUGGCUUUUUA